RNAcentral lists this long non-coding RNA (410 nucleotides) under Hordeum vulgare. RNAcentral describes it as "long non-coding RNA (HVUL_LNC001718)". The record is from RNAcentral. Lineage: Eukaryota; Viridiplantae; Streptophyta; Magnoliopsida; Poales; Poaceae.
UUUGUCUCCACGUCGACGUGCAUAGUUUUUUCUUCUUCUACAUACUCUACAAAAUCGCGAGCUGAUGAAAGCAGGCCGGUGCAAUGGCGUUGAAACGCAUGGCGUCCAAUGUGUUACGUGCGGCACCGUGAGAGGCAGAUCGAGCCAAGCAACAAGAUACCAACCGCACGGCACACGCGCCGUCCAGCCAUGGAGCUGAAGCUUAAAUUGGCACGGCGCCGUCCAGGUCCAGUCACGAUCGUAGCUACCCUUCUAGUACUGGUGUAGAGAAGAGAACCGCCGGUACGUGGCGUCGUCUCGUCAGCGCCCAUGUGGAGGCGCCCCAGUAACCGCUAACAGCUCCUUCCCAGUUCUAUAUUCAACCGAGCCGUCCAAUGCCGAAGAAUCGACGGGAGAAAUGAUAAAACAAG